This 711-nucleotide ribosomal RNA is filed under the name uncultured bacterium. RNAcentral describes it as "bacterial SSU rRNA". It matches the Rfam family "Bacterial small subunit ribosomal RNA", at positions 8 to 716 of the family's 1533-position model. The record is from RNAcentral.
AGAGUUUGAUCCUGGCUCAGAUUGAACGCUGGCGGCAUGCCUUACACAUGCAAGUCGAACGGUAACAGGCCGCAAGGUGCUGACGAGUGGCGAACGGGUGAGUAACACAUCGGAACGUGCCUGAUAGUGGGGGAUAACUACUCGAAAGAGUGGCUAAUACCGCAUAAGAUCUCAGGAUGAAAGCAGGGGACCGCAAGGCCUUGCGCUAACAGAGCGGCCGAUGGCAGAUUAGGUAGUUGGUGGGAUAAAAGCUUACCAAGCCGACGAUCUGUAGCUGGUCUGAGAGGACGACCAGCCACACUGGGACUGAGACACGGCCCAGACUCCUACGGGAGGCAGCAGUGGGGAAUUUUGGACAAUGGGCGCAAGCCUGAUCCAGCAAUGCCGCGUGCAGGAUGAAGGCCUUCGGGUUGUAAACUGCUUUUGUACGGAACGAAAAGCUUCUCUCUAAUACAGGGGGGCCAUGACGGUACCGUAAGAAUAAGCACCGGCUAACUACGUGCCAGCAGCCGCGGUAAUACGUAGGGUGCAAGCGUUAAUCGGAAUUACUGGGCGUAAAGCGUGCGCAGGCGGUGAUGUAAGACAGAGGUGAAAUCCCCGGGCUCAACCUGGGAACUGCCUUUGUGACUGCAUCGCUGGAGUGCGGCAGAGGGGGAUGGAAUUCCGCGUGUAGCAGUGAAAUGCGUAGAUAUGCGGAGGAACACCGAUGGC